This 611-nucleotide long non-coding RNA is filed under the name Lathyrus oleraceus (garden pea). Its description in RNAcentral is "Pisum sativum (pea) long non-coding RNA (PSAT_LNC014475)". The record is from RNAcentral. Lineage: Eukaryota; Viridiplantae; Streptophyta; Magnoliopsida; Fabales; Fabaceae.
AAAAAUACUUUUCUAAUCGAUUACCAUGAUGCAGUAAUCGAUUACCAUCCUAAUAUCUUUGAAAAAAUCACAUUUUUCAUAGCUUUGCUUUAGUGGUUUCAAUGAAUAAUAUUUGAAAACAUUUUAGGUUAAGAUUGAAUGUUAGUUUUUUAAGCUUUUAAGCAAUAUAGAAUAUGAAUUAUGACAUAUUAAAGAUAAAUACUUGAUUAACCUUUAUUAUGAUCAUCAUUGCCCUUUUGUCUUCCAUUGAUCAUUUGAAGUAUUCAUUUUUUCUUCUAUUUGAUAUUGGUUGUCUUCAUCAAAACACAAUGAAUCUAGAAGAGAUAUUUUUAAUAUUGUGUGCUUGAGUUGUAAAAUAGAAAUGAAUAAAAUAAUAAAGGAAACAAAAGGCAACUUCACUAAGUAAGUAGGGUAACCCUCGCCUGGUUACUCAAUCCAACAAUGAGUUGAACCCUACUACCUGGAAAAUGUGUGUGUGUGUGUGUUUGUAUGUGUGUGUGUGUGUGUUUGUGUGUGUGUGUGUGUGUGUGUGUAUGUGUGUGUGUGUGUGUGUGUGUGUGUGUGUGUGUGUGUGUGUGUGUGUGUGUGUGUGUCUGUGUGUGUGUGUGUGU